RNAcentral lists this ribosomal RNA (925 nucleotides) under uncultured bacterium. RNAcentral's name for it is "bacterial SSU rRNA". It matches the Rfam family "Bacterial small subunit ribosomal RNA", at positions 33 to 963 of the family's 1533-position model. The record is from RNAcentral.
ACGCUGGCGGCGUGCUUAACACAUGCAAGUCGAACGAUGAAGCCUAGCUUGCUAGGUGGAUUAGUGGCGAACGGGUGAGUAAUACGUGAGUAACCUACCUUUAACUCUGGGAUAAGCCUGGGAAACUGGGUCUAAUACCGGAUACGACCAAUCUCCGCAUGGGGUGUUGGUGGAAAGCGUUAUGUAGUGGUUAUAGAUGGGCUCACGGCCUAUCAGCUUGUUGGUGAGGUAACGGCUCACCAAGGCGACGACGGGUAGCCGGCCUGAGAGGGUGACCGGCCACACUGGGACUGAGACACGGCCCAGACUCCUACGGGAGGCAGCAGUGGGGAAUAUUGCACAAUGGGCGCAAGCCUGAUGCAGCGACGCCGCGUGAGGGAUGACGGCCUUCGGGUUGUAAACCUCUGUUAGCAGGGAAGAAGAGAAAUUGACGGUACCUGCAGAGAAAGCGCCGGCUAACUACGUGCCAGCAGCCGCGGUAAUACGUAGGGCGCGAGCGUUGUCCGGAAUUAUUGGGCGUAAAGAGCUUGUAGGCGGUUUGUCGCGUCUGCUGUGAAAGGCCGGGGCUUAACCCCGUGUAUUGCAGUGGGUACGGGCAGACUAGAGUGCAGUAGGGGAGACUGGAACUCCUGGUGUAGCGGUGGAAUGCGCAGAUAUCAGGAAGAACACCGAUGGCGAAGGCAGGUCUCUGGGCUGUAACUGACGCUGAGAAGCGAAAGCAUGGGGGGCGAACAGGAUUAGAUACCCUGGUAGUCCAUGCCGUAAACGUUGGGCACUAGGUGUGGGGGACAUUCCACGUUUUCCGCGCCGUAGCUAACGCAUUAAGUGCCCCGCCUGGGGAGUACGGCCGCAAGGCUAAAACUCAAAGAAAUUGACGGGGGCCCGCACAAGCGGCGGAGCAUGCGGAUUAAUUCGAUGCAACGCG